CGGGGAGGCAGCAAACUGCAGGAAUGCCUGGCACUGUGGGGCUGUCUGCAGCUAGUGGGGUGCCCGUGGCUCCCAGGGUGCCUAGGCCUGUGCAAGAGGAAACUGGCUCAGAAUUGUGGGGCAAAGGAGAGACAGUGGGUGGACCUGCAGAUGCCAAGGGUCCCACAAGGAUGGAGGUGCCCACCUCGACCAGGAUGCCUGGGCCCAUGGGGGAGAAGACUGGCUCUGGGGGUGUCUCAGGCUUGUUGGGAGGCAGACAGACUACAGGAGUGUCCAUGGCUGUGCGGCUUCCGGGGUCUGUGGGGGAGGGGACCCUCUUUGAGCGUGUCUCUGGCCUGUCUGGAAGAAGGCAGACUGCUGGGAGGCCUGUAGCUGCUAGAGGUUCCAUGGCUGUGGGAGUGCCCACAGCUCCCGGGCUCCCUGGGCCAAUGUUAGGGGAUACCGGCUCUGGGGAUGACUGCUCAGGCAUAUGGGCAAGGACACUGGCCACUGAGGGGCCCACAGCUGCCAGGGUUCCUGGACCUGUGGAAGGGGAGACAGGCUCUGAAGGUGUCUCAGGCCUGUGGAGAAGGAGACACAGUGGAGCCAUUCCCGAGGCCGGGAGGGUGCCUAUGCCUCUGGGGGUGCUUGCAGCUGUAGGAGCUCCCAUGGCAGGGCGCACACCUGCUGCGGUGUGGGUGACUGGGUCCUCGGGAGCAGAAGCAGAUGUGGGUGUCUCAGGUGUGACCAUGCUGAGGAGACAGUCCACAGGGGGAGUGGGGGCUUCAGAGGACGAGACAGGUGGUGGGAAUAUUCUGGGACUGGCCGGGAGCAGCCAGGCUGUGGGGGCAUCUCACACUUAUGUGCCCGGGACCAGGUUAUGGAGUUGUCCAAGGUCUGUGGGGGAAGAAACGGCCUUUGAGAAUGCUCUAGACAUGUCAGGGACAAGAACAGCCGUGGGGGUACCCCCAGUUUCAAGAGAGGAAAUAGGCCUUGGCCAUUUCAGAGACCACCUACAGCCAAGUGGGAGGAGGCUGGCUGGAGAAGUGUCUGCAGUCAGAGUGAGAGGGAGCAAUUUGGGAGAGAGUUAUGUGGGGGAGGCUAGAUUGAGGGGGGCGUUCCAGUAGUGUGUGUAGGGAAGAAGUUGG
This 1127-nucleotide long non-coding RNA is filed under the name Theropithecus gelada (gelada). RNAcentral describes it as "lncRNA (ENSTGEG00000021597.1)". The record is from RNAcentral. Lineage: Eukaryota; Metazoa; Chordata; Mammalia; Primates; Cercopithecidae.